AGGAUGAACGCUGGCGGCGUGCCUAACACAUGCAAGUCGAACGUCCUGUCUCGCAAGAGGCAGGGAGUGGCGGACGGGUGAGUACCACGUGGGUCAUCUACCGUGAGGUGAGGAAUACCGGCGAGAAAUCGCCGACAAGACCGCAUAGGCUCGAUGCAAGUCGAGCAAAGCUCUUUCGAGAGAGGGAGCGCCACACGAGGAGCCUGCGCCCGAUUAGCUAGCUGGUGGAGUAACGGUUCACCAGGGCGACGAUCGGUAGCUGGUCUGAGAGGACGAUCAGCCACACUGGGAUUGAGAACGGCCCAGACUCCUACGGGGGGCAGCAGUGAGGAAUUUUCGUCAAUGGGGGCAACCCUGAACGAGCAACGCCGCGUGCAGGAAGAGGUUUUCGGAUCGUAAACUGCUUUUCUCGGGAAGAGAACGGACGGUACCCGAGGAAUCAGCCCCGGCUAACUACGUGCCAGCAGCCGCGGU
This 474-nucleotide ribosomal RNA is filed under the name uncultured bacterium. Its description in RNAcentral is "SSU rRNA". It matches the Rfam family "Bacterial small subunit ribosomal RNA", at positions 26 to 521 of the family's 1533-position model. The record is from RNAcentral.